This 472-nucleotide ribosomal RNA is filed under the name uncultured bacterium. Its description in RNAcentral is "bacterial SSU rRNA". It matches the Rfam family "Bacterial small subunit ribosomal RNA", at positions 355 to 825 of the family's 1533-position model. The record is from RNAcentral.
UGGGGAAUUUUGGACAAUGGGCGCAAGCCUGAUCCAGCCAUGCCGCGUGAGUGAAGAAGGCCUUCGGGUUGUAAAGCUCUUUCGGCGGGGACGAAACGGUUCGUGACAACACCACGGACUAAUGACGGUACCCGCAUAAGAAGCACCGGCUAACUACGUGCCAGCAGCCGCGGUAAUACGUAGGGUGCAGGCGUUAAUCGGAAUUACUGGGCGUAAAGCGUGCGCAGGCGGUUAUGCAAGACAGAUGUGAAAUCCCCGGGCUCAACCUGGGAACUGCAUUUGUGACUGUAUAGCUAGAGUACGGUAGAGGGGGAUGGAAUUCCGCGUGUAGCAGUGAAAUGCGUAGAUAUGCGGAGGAACACCGAUGGCGAAGGCAAUCCCCUGGACCUGUACUGACGCUCAUGCACGAAAGCGUGGGGAGCAAACAGGAUUAGAUACCCCCGUAGUCCCUGAGCGGGCUGGCAAGGCGCAU